AUCAAUCAUAAUCAUCAUCAUGUACAAAGAUCCAUAUUCUUUGCAAUAUUAACCUUCGUUUAAAGAGGUUUUCUCUUGGAAAAUACUUUAAUCUCUCUGCCGCCAACUCGAAUUAGAAGCCAAAGUGUUUGCGCUCUCUGCGAUGUACCUUGUAUCAUUCCGCUGCGGUUUUCACCGCCGAUUAGAAAACAAGAGUGUCAGAAUCCUAGCUUCGUCAAACAAGUGUGGUAACACGAGGAAGACUAUUUCGGGGUUAAUUCUAGGAAAAUUUGUUUUGGUGAAUUGGCUAUAACGUUUUAAGUUACUUGACGGAGAGUAUGGUUAAUUUAAACAGUCGUCUUUCAAUGUAUGCGCCGUAAUGAGUUCUGGCCACGACCUAGCC
This 382-nucleotide long non-coding RNA is filed under the name Brassica napus (rape). RNAcentral describes it as "long non-coding RNA (BNAP_LNC018463)". Lineage: Eukaryota; Viridiplantae; Streptophyta; Magnoliopsida; Brassicales; Brassicaceae. The record is from RNAcentral.